CAGGUUGUGGACAGUUAAUUUUGUCAUAGCCUCUCUCAUCAGAUAACCUGCCACAGCAAUGAAAGAUUUCUCACAAACAAUUAACUUUCCUCUCCAUAUGUAAACUGCUUGAUCUCAGGGUCCUUGAUAUUACGAUUUAUUUCCUUUGAGCCAAAGAUGAAAAAGGACUGCCAUCUGUUGACAAUUUAGAAAACGUCUAUAUGCUUCAUUGCAGAAAUUGAGAGGGAAGAGAUUUGGAAACGUUCUUCUGGUGAAAGACGAAGACUGACUAUCUGAAGAAAUAAAACCGUCUACCAACUUUCCAUUUUGGCACAAUCCUUUUUCUGAAAGAAACGGUGCGCACCACAGUAGUAUCCUAGAACUGUGUGGCAUUAGAACUUCAAAGUGCCAUUCACUUACACAACCUCUGCAACAGCCACUAAAUAACUGGAAUCAACCUGAUACCAUUUUUCCAGUAUGUUGAUACCCAUGCCUACAACUAUUUAUUAUCGCUGCAUUUUAACUGUUUUAUGCUUGUUAUUUUUAACUGCCCUCUUGUCCAUAAUC
Sceloporus undulatus (fence lizard) is the source of this 546-nucleotide long non-coding RNA. RefSeq lists it as uncharacterized. The transcript has 3 exons. NCBI's taxonomy places the organism in Eukaryota, Metazoa, Chordata, Lepidosauria, Squamata, Phrynosomatidae. The record is from RefSeq and is a predicted model, not a curated record.